ACGGAGCAACGCCGCGUGAGUCAUGAAGGUUUUCGGAUCGUAAAGCUCUGUUGCCAGGGAAGAACGUCCGGCAGAGUAACUGCUAUCGGAGUGACGGUACCUGAGAAGAAAGCCCCGGCUAACUACGUGCCAGCAGCCGCGGUAAUACGUAGGGGGCAAGCGUUGUCCGGAAUUAUUGGGCGUAAAGCGCGCGCAGGCGG
Molecule: ribosomal RNA, 200 nt
Filed under: Paenibacillus sp. LMG 19412
Lineage: Bacteria; Bacillati; Bacillota; Bacilli; Caryophanales; Paenibacillaceae
Description: partial 16S ribosomal RNA
Rfam family: Bacterial small subunit ribosomal RNA
Source: RNAcentral